Armigeres subalbatus is the source of this 407-nucleotide long non-coding RNA. RefSeq lists it as uncharacterized. The record is from RefSeq and is a predicted model, not a curated record. NCBI's taxonomy places the organism in Eukaryota, Metazoa, Arthropoda, Insecta, Diptera, Culicidae. The transcript is spliced from 3 exons.
UCAAAUGCACUUUACUGAGCUCAGUUAAAACAAAUACCGAGCUCACAGUUCCGACCACGUGACGCUUGAUGUGACGCCAUUUUUUGCGAAUCGGAAUCUUGAGACCGAUUUCAUUAAACGAAUUUAUUUUGUGAUUAGUUGCUUCGGUAUAAAUCGAUUCUAAUAAAUAUAAUCAUAUGAUAAUCAGGCGAAAAAACUUAAACUAUGUAUUUAUCACCAGUCGUUGACGUCGUCGCUGCGUUACCAUUUUGUUUAGUAGAUUCUGGAUUCGGAUCCGACUGCAGAAACAAAUUUUCAGGACGACGAUGAGGCCCUACAACGUUCCCUUUGAGGUAGCAUUCCGAGGACUGAGUGGAGUAGCGCCACUGGGAGAAAUCAAGAGUGAAAAAAUGUAUCACCAAUCACUA